RNAcentral lists this ribosomal RNA (468 nucleotides) under uncultured bacterium. RNAcentral's name for it is "partial 16S ribosomal RNA". It matches the Rfam family "Bacterial small subunit ribosomal RNA", at positions 28 to 507 of the family's 1533-position model. The record is from RNAcentral.
GACGAACGCUGGCGGCGUGCUUAACACAUGCAAGUCGAACGGAAAGGCCCUGCUUUUGUGGGGUGCUCGAGUGGCGAACGGGUGAGUAACACGUGAGUAACCUGCCCUUGACUUUGGGAUAACUUCAGGAAACUGGGGCUAAUACCGGAUAGGAGCUCCUGCUGCAUGGUGGGGGUUGGAAAGUUUCGGCGGUUGGGGAUGGACUCGCGGCUUAUCAGCUUGUUGGUGGGGUAGUGGCUUACCAAGGCUUUGACGGGUAGCCGGCCUGAGAGGGUGACCGGCCACAUUGGGACUGAGAUACGGCCCAGACUCCUACGGGAGGCAGCAGUGGAGAAUAUUGCACAAUGGGCGGAAGCCUGAUGCAGCAACGCCGCGUGCGGGAUGACGGCCUUCGGGUAGUAAACCGCUUUCGCCUGAGACGAAGCGUGAGUGACGGUAAUGGGUAAAGAAGCACCGGCUAACUACGUG